Molecule: ribosomal RNA, 435 nt
Filed under: uncultured bacterium
Lineage: Bacteria
Description: partial 16S ribosomal RNA
Rfam family: Bacterial small subunit ribosomal RNA
Source: RNAcentral
ACGGAAGGCAGCAGUGGGGAAUAUUGCGCAAUGGGGGGAACCCUGACGCAGCAAUACCGCGUGAGUGAAGAAGGUUUUCGGAUCGUAAAACUCUUUUAUCAGGGAAGAAAAAUGACGGUACCUGAUGAAGAAGUCCCGGCUAACUACGUGCCAGCAGCCGCGGUAAUACGUAGGGGACAAGCGUUGUCCGGAAUGACUGGGCGUAAAGGGCGCGUAGGCGGUUUAAUAAGUCUGAUGUGAAAGGUACCGGCUCAACCGGUGACAUGCAUUGGAAACUGUCAAACUUGAGUACUGGAGAGGCAAGCGGAAUUCCUAGUGUAGCGGUGAAAUGCGUAGAUAUUGGGAGGAACACCAGUGGCGAAGGCGGCCUGCUGGGCUUUAACUGACGCUGAGGCACGAAAGUAUGGGGAGCAAACAGGAUUAGAUACCCUGGUA